This 546-nucleotide ribosomal RNA is filed under the name uncultured soil bacterium. Its description in RNAcentral is "bacterial SSU rRNA". It matches the Rfam family "Bacterial small subunit ribosomal RNA", at positions 35 to 625 of the family's 1533-position model. The record is from RNAcentral.
GCUGGCGGCAGGCUUAACACAUGCAAGUCGAACGGCUGUAGCAAUACAGCAGUGGCAGACGGGUGAGUAACACGUGGGAACCUUCCUAGGGGUACGGAACAACUCAGGGAAACUUGAGCUAAUACCGUAUACGUCCGUGAGGAGAAAGAUUUAUCGCCCUUAGACGGGCCCGCGUCGGAUUAGCUAGUUGGUGGGGUAACGGCCUACCAAGGCGACGAUCCGUAGCUGAUCUUAGAGGAUGAUCAGCCACACUGGGACUGAGACACGGCCCAGACUCCUACGGGAGGCAGCAGUGGGGAAUCUUGGACAAUGGGCGCAAGCCUGAUCCAGCCAUGCCGCGUGAGUGAAGAAGGUCUUCGGAUUGUAAAGCUCUUUUGCCAGGGACGAUAAUGACGGUACCUGGAGAAUAAGCCCCGGCAAACUUCGUGCCAGCAGCCGCGGUAAUACGAAGGGGGCUAGCGUUGUUCGGAAUUACUGGGCGUAAAGCGCACGUAGGCGGGUCGUUAAGUCAGGGGUGAAAUCCCGGAGCUCAACUCCGGAACUGCC